Molecule: non-coding RNA, 31 nt
Filed under: Rattus norvegicus (Norway rat)
Lineage: Eukaryota; Metazoa; Chordata; Mammalia; Rodentia; Muridae
Source: RNAcentral
UAUGUUUAUGUGAAUGGAACCCUCUACUUGC